GGCAGUUUUCCACUCCGAAACUGAGGCCAGACUUUCCCUCGACGGACUUGCAUGGGGCUGGCAGAAAUUUUCCGGAUCAGGUAGAAAACGAAAGCCCACUAACACCUGUUGAGCUGCCAGGUGGACUGGCUUACCCACGGGUGGGACCAACCGGCCAGUCUCCGGUGAGCCUGCCCAGGGACGGCUGCUCGCCCCGGACUUUCGACAGCGAGGAUGCCUGGGGCCGGUUGGUAGGAGGGCAGGGUCUGCUGGGUGCCACCGGUCAGAGAUGGGCACGCAGGGCAGAAGAGGGGCGGCCAUCGGGACCCUGCGGCAGAGGCUGAGUGUGAGAUAUCAACCCGCAGUCACACGCCAAGAAAUGUCCCCAAUCACUCCAGAGCCCUUUGUUUUAAUUACUUGACCUCUUUGGCCUCAUCCUAAUUUGGCAAUUGAUGAAGAUGCUGCUUGUUAAAUUUUAAAAGUGAAAUCGGAUUAUCCCUUCCCGGUUUGAAAGGGGCUUGAGAGAGAAAUCUCAGGUGCCUGGCUGGGAAGCAAAGGGGCUUAUAUUCUGACUGCCCAGGCACAGCCACAUGCCCUGACCCGACCUGCCUGGCACACGCAUGCCCCCUUCCAUGGAUGAGGAAGCUCUUGUCUCCAGAAGGGAAGAGACUCACCACUUUGUACCAGAUUGUCAAUGACCAGGGAAAGCAAGAUCCAGGACAGGGUCUGCGAGUGGGAGCCUGUCGCAAUUUGAUGGACAUCACAUUCAGAAUGUCACCAGAGCUGGCUCUUGCUCACCUCCAUCCAGGGGACCACAAGGGGAGAGACCCUCACCCCAGCCACCUCAAACCUAUUCCUUUCUCUCUCUCUACAACACCCCCCCCCCAGCUUGAUGAAUGAACAGCCUGAAUUGCCCUGGAGAUGGGGGUGGGGACUCUAGCCUGCAUCUGAUGUCCUGGAUUCAGGACAUCCCAGGACCACAGUAUCUUGGGGACAGGUUGGCUGCCCCUCCUUGCUGACCCCAUAGCCAGUCCCUCCUGCUGGUGCCCCCUUCCUGCCUGAGAAGCCCUAGCUCAGCCUCCCUUCUCUAUUAACUUGGUACCUGGGCAUAGCUGAGGGCAUCUCAGGGCCAAAACCCCCUCAAAUUCUAAUAAUGGUGAGAUCUCAUGUCCCCACCCAAACUUCCACCUCCCUCCCGACAUGUGGAAGCAGUGGAUGUGCUGAGGAGCUGUGUGUGGUGAGGGCUACUGCGUCUGCCCUGGCCGGAGAUGGCCGACUGUUGGUGACAUAAGAACUCCGGCAUCCUGGUGGGCCCCUCGUCCAUGGCUGUCUCCUGGGGGCUCAGCACUCUCAGCCUUCUGAGUCAGGGUUUCUUGACUUGGUAGGGAGGAGAUGCAGGGGAGGGUUGGCUGAAUUGUUCACACUUGACUGGAAAAGGCUGGCCUUGGGUUGUGGUGGGAAAUGUAGGCUCCAAACCCCAGCUAGUGCACCUACUAAGUGGGUGACAUUGGCCAAGUCACUGCACGGCUUGGAGAAUCAGUUUCCUCAUCUGUAAACCAGCCACCAGGGCGCUAUGAGAACUAAGUAACGUCACAGGUGACAGCAUGCAGUUCCCUAAAGGUGUCCAGGUCAGGUUGCUGUGCCUUGACUUCUCCCAGCAUCCAGCCAGACUCUCAGACACUGGACUUGGGGGAGGUGACCAUGAGCUGAGAUGCCUCCUGCUAUCCCUAGAGCCCGGGUAGUGGGGUGAAUUUUUGUAGCAGGGACUCUCACAGAUUCAGUGAGGAAUCUCUACCAAGCCCUCCCUCUGGGGAGAGCUGGUACUUCAGUCCCCAGGCUUCUAGCCAUCAACAUUCUGGGCCACCCCAUGUAGGCUCCUGAUUCAUUUCCAAGUGGUCGCUUGGCACACAUAUGCUUGCCCUGUCUUCCCAUCAUGGGUUUUACACCGGUCUUACUCCCUGGCAGAAUUAGAUCAGCUGCAUGUGACUUCAGGGGCAUCAGGAAAGUCCCUGCCCACCAAACAUCAUCCUUUCCCUGCCCAAACCUAGCUGUUUGGUAGCAAUGUUCCACCAUGAGAGACCUAUUCCUCUGGCUCAUGGCCUUGCGUCCACUUAUUCAGCCAGUGGACCUUAGCAUCAAUGACUUGUUUAGGAACUUGCAGCAUGUUUGGGAGGAGAGGGAGAGGGCAGAAGAACAGAGGGGAGCGCAGGAGAGAGAAGAUGGGACGUGGCCAGGCUCACCAUUCGCGGCUGCUGUGGCGAAUGUAGGACUUUUUCAUAACGACAACCACAAUAUAAAGACCCAAUUGCCAAGCCCAGGACGCCUGGGGAGGAGAUGCAACCCAGGCGGGCACAGGCGGGGAAAGUGGUAGAUCUCAGUGGAAUUCCUGGUGGGAAGAGGGUGGGCGCCUGCAGAGAACGAGGUGUUAGAUGGCGCUGACCUAGGCGUUGGCAGCCCUAGGGAGGUGAAGAAAACCCCAGGAAAAGGCAGAAGCCUCCUUCCUCUGCCCUUCAGGGAAUGGCCGUCCAACGCACAGUCCCGAGGGUCCAAGCAGUCGAUAGGUGGUAUUCUUUGUAUGUGAGCACAGUCUGUCACAUUGUCAGUGGCAAUUUGUUAGGUCAGCAGAACAAGGAAGUAUCCCCUGGCUGACGGGGCGGGGCUGGGCCAGGGGAGGUUCCGACGCCUGCGCCACCCUGACCGUCCAUGUCUGUCACAUCACCCUCUCUGGAGAGAAGCAAAAACAGCAUCGUUCACCCAGACCCGAGAGGCUUCUGGGCUGCAGGAGAGGGAUCCUGCUGGGGUGGCCCUGAACACAGGUGGCUCCUGGCCCCACUGAGCAAAAAAUCCUGAGCGCUUCCAUGAGUGCUGGGAGACCAGGAGUGAGCGUCCCCACCCAGGCAGCCCAUAAGCCAGGCUGGUUAAUGAGGGGUGGGGCAGCCUCACCGGGGCUCCCCGAUGCCUGGCAACAUGGACUUGUCUUAGCUCAUGAUGAUCCAGCAAUGAGCAGUUUGCAACCCAUUCUGGGUGCUCCAGAGGGCAGACUCCUGGCCAGAGGGAAGAUGUGACAUACCACCAGUGUGACUUGUUGGCCAUAAACUUGGGAGGGACAUCCAUUCUUAAGGAUUAUUCUUAACCAUAUCUGUUCUUAAAUAAUCAUGAUGACAGUGAUGAUAACAUCUCUUUAUUCUUCCCUAACAAGCAUUUAUUGAGCACCUAAUAUGCACAUAACAACUUCUGAUUUAAGCAAAGGGGAUACAGCUGUGGUACCAUUGGCAUUUGGAGCUGAAUGAUCCUCACACUUCGUGUUUUGGCAAAUGUCCCAGGCACUGUAGGAUAUUCAGCAACCCCCCUAGGGUUUCUACCCACCAGAUACCAGUACCACACACCAGGUUGUGACAACCAAAAAUGUCCCCAGAGAUUGCCAUUUAUCCCUAGGGAGCCAAAGAGCCCACUGUUGAGAACCUCUGGGACUACAGCUAUGAAUAAAAAUCAAUCCUGUUCCCUUAGGAGCAUCAUUGUAAAGACAGAGGGACAAUAAAUGUGCUAAGGAAGUCGAAUAUGCACUUGGCUGCAUGGUGGAAAUGCUGGGAACACAAAGGGUCAGAGUUAGGAGCCUGCGGGCUGGGACGGUGGGGGGGGGGGUCUGCCACUUUCAACAGUGAGACUGGGAAAGACCUCCCUGAGCAGGUGACAUUUCAACAGAGGCCAGAGGAGGGGAGGGAGGGAGAUUCAGGGAAGGACCUGCCAAGCAGCAGCAGGGAGAGAGUUAAGGACCCAGGGGGAGGUAGUGGCCCUGUGAGGGCAGGCGGGUGGUUCUGAUGGGGCCCGUGGAGGAGGGCCAUCAGCUUUCCCUCUGGGUAAAAAGGGGGUCAGUGAGCACUCAGUGCCUGCUAGGGGCACACACCAUAUCCAGUGCUUUCCCACACACACCCCCCAAUAGUCCUACAAGCGAAGUGUUUCUUUUCUUGAUCUUUCAACUGAGAGAAGCAAGGCCAGGAAGGAUGAAGGAACUUGGAGGGGUUACAGUUGGGACAUGAACUUGGGCAGCCUGUGCGCUGCCGUCUCACACUGAAAUGUACGCUUUGGAACUGUGAAGCCCUGAGUUCAAAUACCAGCUCAGCCCCUUCCUUUGCCACGUGUGGAGUCCAAAGCUGCGCUCUGCAGGGGGAGUGUGGGGUGGGGCAUGUCUGCCCUGGGUGCUCCCAGGCCAGCCAGAAGCCAGCGGGCUGGAGCACCCUGCUCCUCCUCCCAGCCAGGGGCUCCUGUCCUGGGCUUGCACACCUGUUUACUGAUCACCGACCCUGCCAUUUGGUGAGGUUGAGGCAAGUUAAACACAAACCCAGGGAGUCCCGCAGGAGCCACCCUUUCUGAGUCAAUGUCCCCAGGGGACUUCAGGGCCAGCUUGCCAGCCUUUGUCAAAUGAUGCUUCUCCUGGGAGCAGAGCCUGAAUCGAAGGGAAAGGCAUGUGUUACCCAGGGCAGCCCCAGCAUCAGCUUCAUCCCCCAAAUCCCUGCGUCGGAGAGCCCCCGCUACCCACCUGCAGGUUCUUCUUCAAGCGCCUGUCACAAGCACCUUCCUCGCUGCAAAUACAGGUUUAAAAAUACCCCAGACAGUCGACAAAAGAGGAGCAGCUGAUAGCAACCCAGACCCUCUGGUGACUCUCACUGUGGACCCCCUGUCCCCUGGGGGAGUGUCUUCCCUGCAGAUGGACUGCAGUGACAGGGACACCCCCAGGAAGGACGUUUCUGAGCCUGCUGGACACUCAGGUGUGAGGGUGUGUGCCCCAGAGAGUGGGCGCCUCUCUCAGGAGGUGUGGGCGUGUCUGUGCAUUUCCCCGUUCAUUCCGGGCUAGCUGCCGUCAGAGGCGGCUGUGGCCUGUGGUUUCUGGGAUGAUGGGAAGCCCCUGACCCCUAACACCCAAACCCCACCACUGUGACCUUUGCUGCUUUGGCUCACCUGAAGGUGAUGCCCGAUGGGCAGAAGGUCCUGUCUGCACCUGCCCAGGAGACUCUGCCCAGCCCUCGCCAGCUGCCCUGGACGAGAACAGCCACAGAAAAGAGUGGGGGCGCUCUUCUCAGGGAACCCCUGCAGGAGGAGCCCUGGCCUAGGGCUGGAUGUCAGGAGACCCGGGUUCAAACCAGGUUCUCUGGCUGUGUGCCAUCUUAGGCCAGUCCCCACUCAUCUCUGGGCCCCUGUUUCAUGUCCCUAGAGGAUGGGGAGGGGAGGGAGGAUUCACUUUUCCCACACCCGUUUCUAGAACCCUGACUAGCAAGGGUCAGGUGGGCUUUAGGGAAUGCCCCUCCCUUAGGGGCUUCCAGUCCACAAGCCCUGAAGGUCUUCCCGCUCCAGAGCUCAACAGGCCGUGAUUCCUUGGAGAUAAACCUAGACCGAAGGCACCAAUGAGCAGAUGGACAGAGAAAUCAGACUGUUCCAUUAGACAAAAAGCAAAGGCCAGCCGGGUGCAGUGGCCCACGCCUGUAAUCCCAGCAGCUCGGGAGGCUGAGACAGGAGGAUCGCGAGUUCAAAGCCAGCCUCAGCAAAAAGAGAGGUGCUAAACAACUCAAGGUAGACCCUGUCUCUAAAUAAAAUAAAAUAAAAAAAAUAGGGCUAGGGAUGUGGCGCAGUGGUCUAGUGCCCCUGAGUUCAAUCCCCAGUAGCCCCCCAAAAAAAGCAAAGGCCAGAAGAGGGCACCAGUUCCCACGGCCACAGCGGGCUGGGUGGUGGUCUGCAGAGGAGCCGAUGGACGUCAGGCUAACUCCAGGGCAGGGGAGGGCCUUGCCUGCAGAGCAGGGUCUUCCGCUCACUGCUGAGGGAGCUUGAGUUCUCCAUCCCGCUCAGACUUCCUGUGUGUGAAAUAGAGGGAAGAAGAACGUCUCUGGGUGGGGCUUUGGUGGUGUGGUUUUUAUUGUUGUUACCAAUAAAGAGAACUUCACAGAUGCGUUGGUUGGGGCUCCGAGAGGUGGAGCAGUUUCCCAAUGGUUUCCCAGUUAAUAAGAAGCAAAGUCGAGUUUUGAACCCAGAUCUCUGCAGGUCCAAAGCCUGAGAGGUUUUUAGCUCAAGCAAAAUGGGGAAGCUGAUUAGCGGCCCUGCCCAGGUCCCGGUUACCAGAGUAGUUUCUGUUUCAUUGCAGAAUGUGGAGGAAAUGAGACCCAUCUCUAGAAUUCCAAAGAGGAAAUCUGAAUUGUCAGAAAAAAAGAAGCUGCCAGGAGGUAGACCUGCUAUUCUCCUGGGCUAACUGAUGAGGACUGCCUCCUGCUCCCUGGUGCUCAAGCCCAGGCUGCCUGGGCCACAGCCCUGCAGGGACAUUGUGGGGACAUGCUGGUCCAGGCAUCUGGACUCCCAUGAGCUUCAUGGAGGGAGACAGCACAGGGGUGGAGGCUGGCAGAAGCACCCACCCCUCCUGCCUCUAAGGGAGCCAGCUGUCAGCCUGGCCUGGGGUCAGGAAGCCACUGGAAUAAGCAGGGUUGGACUCAGUGUCCCAUGGGGAGCUGUCAAGCCACAGAGGGACAGCUGCACCGAGAACGUGCCUCCCUGCAGGUUGACAUGGGGGACACAGCUGGGCAGGAAGGACAGAAGGACAACUCUGACUUGGGUGGGCUGGGCUGUUGCCUAGACCCUCUGUGGUUCAAGGUGAUGAGCUGGGCGGCAGAUGGGUGACUGGGGAUCGGUGACCUGACUUCUUGGGAUCUGUGCUCCCAAGGGACAUCUGCCCAGCCAUGGAAUACUGCCCUCCCCAUGAUAUCUGAACAGGUUCAGUCGAAGUUUGUGGCUGGGAAGAAAAAAAAGGCUAUGAAUCCUUAAAAAUCACCGUGUCCCUGGCCCCAAAGCGGCCAUCUGCAAUGGAGAAGACACAAUGGGGACAGCAGCUCUUGGCCCAUUUCCUACUCUGGGUUCCCAUGGGCUACUCUGCUUGAGCCUCUCAUGAUGUGGUGAUGUCAGAGAGAGGUGACAUCACCACAUCAUGGUGACAUCACCACCAUGAACCCCACUUUAUAGGUGAAGAAACUGAAGCACAGAGAAGUCAGGUAACCGGUCCCCAGUCCCCCAGCUCAUACCUGGUAGAGGCGGGAUUUGAACCCAAGGAGCCCAUGCGCUUUCUGAAUCCUUGCCAUUUGUGAAAGGAAAAGGUAACCAAAGCGUCCAGCUCAGAGGCUGACUCUUCCAAACUCCUCUUCUUCCCUUUUUCUAAAACAAAAACUAUUCUCCAGACAGAAACCAGGUGAGGUAUUGGGCUCAGCUCAGGUGUGGCCUCCACCAGGUGUUCCCAUUUGGGGGCCUUUAUUUGUGCUUCUGUGGCAUCCUCAGCUCACCUCCAUCAGCCCACGUGCCAUGUCCCUUUCCCUGAGGCCCCGCCCACCACCGUUCUGCUUUCUGGCCCUCGGGCUCUGCCUCUGAGGGGUAUGUCAUAUAAAUGGACUCAUGGUCGAGCAGUGUGUGGCCUUUGUAUCUGACGUCCUUCAUUCAGCUGAAUGUGCUUCAGGUCCGUCCGUCUGUGUGACAGCAGGUGUCAGUACUUCCUUCCUCCCCGAGAGCCACUCCUGUCUGGGUGGAGCUGAGGAGCCACGGAGAGCUUUGCGGUCUCAAAGCCAGGCCAGCACCACCUGCCCCUCACUGCGGCCCUCAGGACCCGCACACCCUGAGCUGUCCCUGUGACCUCAGAGCCCGGUUCCAUCUUGAGAUGAGGAGUGUCGUCGAG
RNAcentral lists this long non-coding RNA (7675 nucleotides) under Marmota monax (woodchuck). Lineage: Eukaryota; Metazoa; Chordata; Mammalia; Rodentia; Sciuridae. The record is from RNAcentral.